Molecule: ribosomal RNA, 253 nt
Filed under: uncultured bacterium
Lineage: Bacteria
Description: partial 16S ribosomal RNA
Rfam family: Bacterial small subunit ribosomal RNA
Source: RNAcentral
UACGGGGGGGGCAAGCGUUGUUCGGAAUUACUGGGCGUAAAGGGCUCGUAGGUGGCCAACUAAGUCAGACGUGAAAUCCCUCGGCUUAACCGGGGAACUGCGUCUGAUACUGGAUGGCUUGAGUUCGGGAGAGGGAUGCGGAAUUCCAGGUGUAGCGGUGAAAUGCGUAGAUAUCAGGAGGAACACCGGUGGCGAAGGCGGCUUUCUGGACAGAAACUGACGCUGAUGCGCGAAAGCUAGGGGAGCAAACAGG